This 370-nucleotide ribosomal RNA is filed under the name uncultured prokaryote. RNAcentral describes it as "bacterial SSU rRNA". It matches the Rfam family "Bacterial small subunit ribosomal RNA", at positions 524 to 896 of the family's 1533-position model. The record is from RNAcentral.
CACGUAGGGGGCAAGCGUUGUUCGGAAUUACUGGGCGUAAAGGGCAUGUAGGCGGCUUUGUAAGCCUGGCGUGAAAGUCUGCAGCUUAACUGCGGGAAUGCGUUGGGAACUGCGAAGCUUGAGUUAUGGAGAGGAAGCUAGAAUUCCUGGUGUAGGGGUGAAAUCUGUAGAGAUCAGGAAGAAUACCAAUGGCGAAGGCAAGCUUCUGGCCAAUGACUGACGCUGAGGUGCGAAAGUGUGGGGAUCAAACAGGAUUAGAUACCCUGGUAGUCCACACAGUAAACGAUGUGCACUAGGUGCUGGGGCGGAUGCUUCAGUGCCGGAGCUAACGCGGUAAGUGCACCGCCUGGGGAGUAUGCUCGCAAGGGUG